RNAcentral lists this transfer RNA (108 nucleotides) under Blumeria hordei DH14. RNAcentral's name for it is "tRNA-Leu for anticodon CAA". It matches the Rfam family "tRNA". From Rfam's summary of the family: Transfer RNA (tRNA) molecules are approximately 80 nucleotides in length. Their secondary structure includes four short double-helical elements and three loops (D, anti-codon, and T loops). Further hydrogen bonds mediate the characteristic L-shaped molecular structure. tRNAs have two regions of fundamental functional importance: the anti-codon, which is responsible for specific mRNA codon recognition, and the 3' end, to which the tRNAs corresponding amino acid is attached (by aminoacyl-tRNA synthetases). tRNAs cope with the degeneracy of the genetic code in two manners: having more than one tRNA (with a specific anti-codon) for a particular amino acid; and 'wobble' base-pairing, i.e. permitting non-standard base-pairing at the 3rd anti-codon position. RNAcentral also lists the same sequence under 1 other name. The record is from Rfam by way of RNAcentral. Lineage: Eukaryota; Fungi; Ascomycota; Leotiomycetes; Helotiales; Erysiphaceae.
GGCUAGAUGGCCGAGCGGUUAUGGCGUGUGACUCAAGAUUCGUCUUUUCCGUGACAUACACGGUUUCUCAUGGGGCAACCCGCGGGGGUUCGAAUCCCCCUCUAGUCA